AGCGAACGCUGGCGGCAGGCCUAACACAUGCAAGUCGAGCGGCCGUAGCAAUACGGCGGCGGCAGACGGGAGAGUAACACGUGGGAACGCGCCCUUCGGUUCGGGAUAACUCAGGGAAACUUGGGCUAAUACCGGAUACGCCCUUACGGGGAAAGAUUUAUUGCCGAAGGAACGGCCCGCGUCCGAUUAGCUAGUUGGUGAGGUAACGGCGCACCAAGGCGACGAUCGGUAGCUGGUCUGAGAGGAUGACCAGCCUCACUGGGACUGAGACACGGCCCAGACUCCUACGGGAGGCAGCAGUGGGGAAUAUUGGACAAUGGGCGCAAGCCUGAUCCAGCCAUGCCGCGCGGGUGAUGAAGGCCCCAGGGUUGUAAAGCCCUUUCAGCGGGGAAGAUAAUGACGGUACCCGCAGAAGAAGCCCCGGCUAACUUCGUGCCAGCAGCCGCGGUAA
RNAcentral lists this ribosomal RNA (451 nucleotides) under uncultured bacterium. RNAcentral describes it as "partial 16S ribosomal RNA". It matches the Rfam family "Bacterial small subunit ribosomal RNA", at positions 29 to 523 of the family's 1533-position model. The record is from RNAcentral.